UGCGGAUUAGUGUAACAGUCAACAUACCUGACUCAUGAUCAGUAGAUUAAGGUGCAAAUCCUUAGUCCGCAC
Non-coding RNA from Lasallia pustulata, 72 nucleotides. The record is from Rfam. NCBI's taxonomy places the organism in Eukaryota, Fungi, Ascomycota, Lecanoromycetes, Umbilicariales, Umbilicariaceae.